Molecule: small RNA, 465 nt
Filed under: Malus domestica (apple)
Lineage: Eukaryota; Viridiplantae; Streptophyta; Magnoliopsida; Rosales; Rosaceae
Source: RNAcentral
UUGGGAGCUCACUGGCUUCGGGUUCCGUCGGAACUCCGAAGUUAAGCAAGAAGAAGGCCAGAGCACUCCCAGGAUGGGUGACCCACUAGGAAGUUGCUCGUAAGUUCCCAAAAACAAAACCGUGAGGGAAUGGUAAACCUAAAGCGGACAAUAUCGUGCUACGGUGGUGAAGAUGGCCCGGGAAGUGAUCUGCCCCGGGUCUGGAUGUGACAAAUGGUAUCAGAGCCAAUCCCUGGCCGGACGUGUGCCGACGAGGACGUCGGGCCCCUAAGGGGGUGGAUUGUAACAUCCCACAUCGCCCAGGGGAGUGAUCCUUAAAUUUAUAUUCCCAUCCCUACCUAGCACGAGGCUUUUUGGGAGCUCACUGGCUUCGGGUUCCGUCGGAACUCCGAAGUUAAGCGAGAAGAAAGCCAGAGCACUCCCAGGAUGGGUGACCCACUGGGAAGUUGCUCGUGAGUUCCCAAA